RNA transcript from Athene cunicularia (burrowing owl), 3076 nucleotides. It is a transcript of the gene named HAUS augmin like complex subunit 8, with no coding region annotated. The transcript is spliced from 12 exons. NCBI's taxonomy places the organism in Eukaryota, Metazoa, Chordata, Aves, Strigiformes, Strigidae. The record is from RefSeq and is a predicted model, not a curated record.
GUUCGAACGCGAUGGCGGCGGCGAGAGGGUGAAGGAGCGGGCGCGUCUCGCCGCCCGUCUCCUCAGGCGUUUCCAGGUGCCGUUGUCAUCUCUCGCUCUGUCUUUGCAGGAUGUCCGCGCCUGCGAGCCACCCUACCGCUACGGCGGCGGGCGGAGAAGCGCCGAAAACUAAGCAGAAAGGAGGAAGGAUCGUGAAGUCUCGCUACCUGCAGUACGACAAGAAAGACGUCAGGAAGGAUACUCCAACAAAUUCCUUUUCCAUAUCUACUGGUAAACCAUCUUCUUCAGCUAAAUCAAGAGCAGUUCCUGCUCAGAAAUGUACAACUUCUGCUGGUCUUCUCUCUAAGUCUUUAAGUCAGAGUAGUUGUGAGAAACUUAACUUGCAGUCCACUUUAUUAGAUGAAGAUAAACUUGAACGACCGCAGCUUGAUUUUUCAGCAAUUGGUGAGAAAAGUGUCCAGAAAAAGACUCCUGCUUCAAAAUCUGAUGGCAAAGGAUCUACAGGGACACGUCGAAAACCAAACAGAGCAGGAAAACGUUUGAAUAAAUCUCUGAUAGCAGAGCUGGAAUCUCAGACACUGCUUUUAACUUACCUAAGAAUAAAGGCAGGAAAAAAUCUUGCUAAGCUGGAGGAAAAAACAGAAAAGAACUUGUUAAUGUUGUGUGAAGAAAAGGAGAGACAACACAAGAAGCUCUGUGAGUUGAAGCAUGAAAUUCUUCUCCAAGAGAGAGAGCAGAAACUUGAUGAAGCCUUAGACAAACAGAUGGAAGUACUUUCUCCCCUUGUUCCUGUUUGUGAAAAAUUUAAGGACCAAUAUAAAAGCUUUGCAGCUUCCCUGGAUGCCACUACACAUGCAUUGCCCAUAAAGAAUAUUCACAUAGAAGGAGAUAAGCUAACAUACCUUGGUGAACUGCAAAAGCAGUUAACUGUCACACAGGAACUUCUGACAGAAAUUAUGCCAGACUACUCAGAAGAAAGUGAAAAAACGUUUAAUGUACUGAAAGACCUUGAAGAAGUUUCUCAGAAACUGGAUAAAGUGAUUCAAAGGAGCUUUGCAGAAGUGCAGAACCUGUCAUCUGAAGUUAGUAAAGAAGUUUCUCUGCAUAACCAAAACAUAUGUGAAGAGAAUCAUGGACUAGAUGAUGUGAAACACUGGUACUUCAACUAACUUUGUGUGUUGUUUUACUAAUGAGUGGAUACUAAAUCAGUGCCAGCAGACUUCUUGUAUGAACAUAUAACUUGCCCAAAUUUUCAGUUGUAUCAGAAUAUGAAACCAGCAGUAUGUAUGCUAACUAAUGUAAGAAAUGAAGUUUUCUUCUGCGUGUUGUCCCAUAAGGAGUCAUCUUUUUUUAACAUGAAUUUGAUACCUUUCUCAUCACCUUCUGCCUUGACAGUACUGAAAGGGCUCAUACUACACAGUAUGUGCAGUGAUGGACUUACAGGCACUAACCAGUCCCAACGACAAGCCGUGACCUACUGGCACUAUUGUGCUGAGGCCAGAAGAUUGUGAUGUGGAGAAAAACCUCAAACCUACUACUGAGGUCACCGGAGCUCCAGGUGAGGGAGCAGCACCCCCCUUUGCCUGGGCUUCACUGUGGUAGAGCUGCGCUCAGGAGAAGAUCGAGGCCGGUUUGUCUCUUCACCACCCCCCCAACCCUGCAAUUCUUUGUUCACACUAGCUUCAAAUGGAGCUGAUUCUUUGCUCAUCAGCAGCAAGUAAGCAGCUCAUGACCCCAGCAGAUGUUUCUGCAUUUUAGGCUAAUGAGAAUUUACUGGAUUACUGCAGUCUUCCCUGCCUCGGAGUAAAUACCACUUUGUUGGAGAUCCGGAAACUCAUACUGAAUAUGAUAAACAAACUGCUGGCUGGACUGUGAUUGCCAGGACAUGAAAAGAGUUCCACAGCAGCAGAAGAUCUAACAGCUCUGAAAUGCACCACUGAGCCACACCAAUUAAGAGCAUUUCCAGUGAUUAUGUGAGCAUUCCUGUUCAACUCACAGAAAUUAUUUUAGGUUGUUUCUUCCGCUGCAUUUGUGUGUGGUCUGAAAAGCAAGCACAAGGGUGGAGGAUGAGGUUUGCAGAGCAGUCUCAAAGGCCUCUGAUCACUUUCUUUUAAAAUUUCUGUGAUAAUGUAUAUGCAAGACUUACUGAGUUUCCUGCUCUUUCAGGAUCUUAAAUUUCUCAGGGUAGCAAUUUGCCUCAAGACAUAACUAAUUUUUUUGUUUAUAUAGAUAAUAUGUGUUUGGAGAUGGCCUGUAAGAUAUCAGAACUUAAUUCUUUGUUUUAGUAUCUACUGCAUGUGGGGGUGGGAAACUAAACACAGUAGAGUUUUCAGGACUACUACCCAAAAAGAGAUUCUGUCUGUGACACUUCGUCCUUUCAGCAGUCAGGCUUUGUUGUGUGUUUCUUCAGAACUUUUUAGAUAGUAUUUCAGUAAGUGAAAUGGUAAACAGGUAACUAUAGGAGUGCAGCACUGAUCCCCAGCUAAACCAGGAUGAAGCUUGUGAGCCUGACUCUAGAGCAGUGUUAGCACACUUAGAAACUUCAGCAUAUUAUGGACAGGGUAGGGUAUGGUAUCUGCAUAGGCAGUGCCCAAAGCUGUUGAGAGCCCUUAACCCUUUCUUGCUAUCUUUUUGUCAUGAGAAAUUUGUCUUCACCUAACUGAGCAAAAUCAAAUUUCUCAAAUUAAUAUGCUUUUUUAUGAUAAAAGGACACCUCCACCCGUUUCUAGUUAGGAAGGUGUCCAGCUGAAUUUUUAAUAACUCUUAAAUGUGUGGAGACUUCUCAACCUUUCUAGAUCCCUUAUUUAUGUAUAAAACUUCCACCAAACACUAGAUUAUGGACAGACUUCUAUUCCACCAGGCAUAUGUAGAGACUGAGUAGAAGACUGGAAAAUAAUUUCUUACUAAAUGUCUUAAUGAUAGCCACUUCUGAUUAAGCACAGUGCUCUAUUCCUGUUCUAAAUCAACAUGCAAAUGAUUUCUUAGUACUAUUUCAGUAAUUUUUGUCAGCAAUUAAAAUGUUAUACUACUCUGAAAGACCAGCUUCUCCUGUUUUGUAGAUGAUUAAUAAAGAUUU